RNAcentral lists this transfer RNA (84 nucleotides) under Echinostoma caproni. It matches the Rfam family "tRNA". From Rfam's summary of the family: Transfer RNA (tRNA) molecules are approximately 80 nucleotides in length. Their secondary structure includes four short double-helical elements and three loops (D, anti-codon, and T loops). Lineage: Eukaryota; Metazoa; Platyhelminthes; Trematoda; Plagiorchiida; Echinostomatidae. The record is from Rfam by way of RNAcentral.
AGCAUCGUAGCUCAGCUGCUAGAGCGUGCGCUGUACAAAAGCGUAGGCGGCGUCCAUGCGUGGGUUCGAAUCCCACCGAGGCUA